This is a long non-coding RNA of Etheostoma cragini (Arkansas darter), 154 nucleotides long. RefSeq lists it as uncharacterized. Lineage: Eukaryota; Metazoa; Chordata; Actinopteri; Perciformes; Percidae. The transcript is spliced from 3 exons. The record is from RefSeq and is a predicted model, not a curated record.
AUAUAUACACACACAUGGAUAGGGUUGGGUACUGAAACCCCGUUCCUACGCAACCGGUAGAAAAUCGGACCGGCUUAGAACACAAAUUUCGGUUCCUCAUAUCGGUUCCACUUAAUGGGUCAACUGAAAUAUUUUCCCCUUGUCGUUUUGACAC